This 99-nucleotide microRNA precursor is filed under the name Pelobates cultripes (western spadefoot toad). The record is from RNAcentral. Lineage: Eukaryota; Metazoa; Chordata; Amphibia; Anura; Pelobatidae.
CUCCCUCGCGGUUCCCAUAAUUCCCAGCAUCUACACAUCAUAGAGUAGGGAUUACUGUAUGAUGUGUAGAUGCUGGGAAUUAUGGGAACCGCGAGGGAG